UACAAAUGUCUCUGCAGAGCUAGUUUCUA
This 29-nucleotide non-coding RNA is filed under the name Mus musculus (house mouse). Lineage: Eukaryota; Metazoa; Chordata; Mammalia; Rodentia; Muridae. The record is from RNAcentral.